Molecule: non-coding RNA, 3456 nt
Organism: Lonchura striata (white-rumped munia)
Lineage: Eukaryota; Metazoa; Chordata; Aves; Passeriformes; Estrildidae
Source: RefSeq, a predicted model, not a curated record
GCCGGGGGGAGGGUGGAGGCGGAGGGACUGAGCCGAAGGGCCCGUACGGGCGGGUGCGGGGCCUCGGCCCAGCCUCUCCGCCGCCUUUGCCGCGGGCCCGGUUCAUUGUCCUUAUUCCCCUCAUCGAUGCCUUUUCCCCUCGUUCUCCCUCGCUCUCCUCCAGGCUCACGGGAAGGUCCGGAAGUGCCGCCCCCGGGAGCCGUCGGCGCCAGCUAUUGUAUACGCUACCUGGACAAACAAUCAUUUUCUUUCCAGUCCUGUUCUCAAGCUGUCCUUGCUACAAAGGGAACUCUGAGUCAUACAUCUGUCUGGCAAGUGUUUUCAUUUCAGUAUUCAAAGAUAAUGUUGAGCUGUGUUAAUGUGGAAAUUGGCUUUAAAGUUACAUCAGGGGCAGUUAGAGAAACUCGGACUUCUUUUUGAUGGGAAAACGUCUUUUCAGUGGCCUUUUGGUAAGGCAGUUUAACAACUAAAUGUCAGGCUAGAGCCCAUAAUCUUACUGAGUUUUAUUUCUAAUAAAAGAAUUCCUGUGCACAAAGUGUAAUAUAAUUUAAGACUAGCAGAAAAAGCUCCGGGCAGUAUUUUGGACAGUGCUUGGGUUGGUUUUUAUUUUUUGUUUGUUUGGGUUUUGGGGUUUUUUUUGUGUUUUUUUUUUUUUUUUUUUGCUAUUGGUGCAAUAGGUGAAAAGGUCACUAUAUGUAAUAAUAUUUUUUAAAUCAGGUUUACAAAUAUUAGGGCCUCACCCUGAUCUGUAUAAGUCAGUCAUAUAGCUGUGGUCCUAGAUUGCAUUAUUUUUAAGUUCCAAAGAGGAAGAAAUAAAUAUAUGUCUGCCUACAGUGUUGCUGAUAGACUUUUCUUCUGAUUUCAGGUGAGAAGUGACACCUGUGGAACAUGACUGGUAAUUCAACAGAAGUUUAAUGACUGUAGUUGCUAUGAGACUGCUACAGCUUGCUUACUUAAGACCCAGGCAAUUGGUAAAAUUUGGAAAUUAGGAAACCUUCUUUUAAAAAUAACUUCCUUCUGUGACUAGGGGGAGCAAGGGGAAGGCUUUUUCUAUGGUGAGUGUUAAAAAUGCUGUCUGCAGCUAGCCUGACUUGUCUUGACUGAAGCAGCAAUCCUGCCCCAGCUCUGAAGAUGCCUGCACUGUGGGAUGAGGUAGUAGGUUGUAUAGUUUUAGGGUCAUACCCACCACUGGGAGAUAACUAUACAAUCUACUGUCUUUCCUAAAGCAGCAGAUAAUCAACAAUGGAAGCUUCUCAGUUUUAAGCUCAAUGUCAGAUUUUGCUGAACUUCUGUAUUUGCAGUGCUUAUAACAGGACAAAAUACUUGUGUAAUAGCUAUGGGAAUUGUAUUUAGAUUUUUCUAGUUCUUGGAAAACCUAGGUUUCAUUCUGCAUUAGUUUUUCUGUCCUAAUGACUAAAAAGUUAAGAAUAGAUUAUUCCUGUAUGUGUAUGGUGGGGCAAUCAAAUACAAAUUCCAGUUGUUGGGUUGUUGGAUCAACCAUCCUUCAGAAUGAAACGGAGGUUGGCUACUGAGCUCUUGCUUCUCUGUCAGAGUGAGGUAGUAGAUUGUAUAGUUGUAGGGUAGUUAUUUUACCCUGUUCAGGAGAUAACUAUACAAUCUAUUGCCUUCCCUGAGGAGUAAAACAAACUGCACUCCCUUGCAGCCAGUCCUGGGCUAAAAACAUUCAUUGAGCAAAACGAGAUGAAUUCAGGCUUGGAAAGCAGCAGUGCCAGAAUGCACAGGACUGACAGUGUGAAUGGUGCAACCCCCACAGGAUAUCCUUGACUUAACAUAACUUUUCUCUCAAGGUGAGUGGCACAGUGCUGGCUGGGAAUGGAAAAUGCCCAUGCUUAGGUAGAGGGUAGAACACUCCACAGAGGAAAGUUACUCUUAGGCCAAUUAGGAGAACGUAAAAUACAGGGAGCUCAAGCUUGUGCAUUGUGAUUUAAACUCUUCUGGCACCCCAAUUUCCAUAAUGCAUUCAAACUCUGUGACUCCCAACUGCUUGGUAGAAGUUGGAGGGAAGACUUAAAAUGACCCUUUAUUAAUAAGUCUACAUGUUUUUCUGCAGCUUUUCCAGAUCCAAUGCAAAAUUUAAGUGUUGGCCAGUUUUGGCCAAAACUGACCUCUCACCUUUCUCGGGGCGGUGUGAAGCUAUGGAGUUUGAGCAUCCAAGAGCUAGAACUUUUCUCUGAGGUGGUAUUGUUUCUGUAAAAAGACUUCUGAAGUUUAUUGCAUUCUCUUUCAUCCUGCUGUGCUUGGUGUACCCAGUCUGUAACUGGUUCUGUGCUAGCAUGCCCAGCAAGCAGCUUGCUGUAGUAACAAAAAAACCCCACGUAAAUAAAUGCUUUUUGGAACGGGAAGCUCAGCUUAGGCAGAGUGAAAAUGGAGCCAUUGGUGAGUGUUACAGGCAGUGAGCCACUGUUUGUCAGUGUUGACAGUGUCACCUUGGAAUGUGUGCCCAGCCAGGGCAGAAGAGCAGAGCAGCUGGGGAGCUAAAGUCCUGCAGAGAGUGAAGAACUGCACAGAGGAAGCGUGGGGCUCCUAGGAAGAGGUAGUAGGUUGCAUAGUUUUAGGGCAGGGAUUUUGCUCACAAGGAGGUAACUAUACAACCUGCUGCCUUUCUUAGGGCUUUAUUAUAACACCAGGACCUUUUGGGCUCCAGCCUACAAACCUCUGCAGCUUUGGGACGUGGAGAGAAAGGACAAGGUAUUUCUAAGGCUGCUGAGACUUAAUGAAAACUGUGUCUUGGCAGAUUUGGUCCCAAACGGAAGUGUAGGAAUGCUGGCUGGAAUGCAGCAUGGUGACAUUGGGGCUGCACAUGCCACUUUGGGGACACUGGGCUGUGGUAAGUAAGAGGCUGUGCUGGGAUGGCACUCCUUCCAGAGUAAGCUGGAGGCCCCUGAGGCUAGGGUAGAGGUGUGAGCUGAACAUCAAGGUACUGGUACUGUGUGCUCACAGGGAGUUGAAAUACACCUUCCUUUGGCUUGGUGCAUUUCAAGUGGAAAAACUCCAGUUUUCCUUCCCCAAAAGUAUCAGAUUCCAGAUCCCCUGAAAGCUGGUGCUUUCUCACCAGGCAUGGCACUCAGAGUGAACAAGCUCUCAGUGCAUUAUUUACAGUGCUGCAGGGAGGAAAUUUCCAGUUAAAAAUGGUGACAUGGUUUCUCAUGGAAUUGUUAAAAAUCAGUCCAUGUUUUGUGAUGUAAUUGCAGUGCACCACAGCAGUAGUUCUGGUAGGGCUCCGGCUGGGCACUGUUCUGUGGGAUACUGUGAUGUCAAUUCUGAGCACCUUGCAGCAUUAAUGUGCUGUGCUCACACCAGCCACUAUUUAAAUUGCAAACCAGACACAGAACUAGCUUAUAAACAUGUUAGGUAUUGCUUAUAUUGGACAUUUUGUGUGAAUUUAACUGUACUUUUUUGAUUUAGUUAAUAAAAUACAGCAUUUUGUGCAACUGA